RNAcentral lists this transfer RNA (73 nucleotides) under Enterococcus phage 9181. RNAcentral's name for it is "tRNA-Trp". It matches the Rfam family "tRNA". Rfam says of the family: Transfer RNA (tRNA) molecules are approximately 80 nucleotides in length. Their secondary structure includes four short double-helical elements and three loops (D, anti-codon, and T loops). Lineage: Duplodnaviria; Heunggongvirae; Uroviricota; Caudoviricetes. The record is from RNAcentral.
UAGGUGAGUAGUGUAAUGGUAUCACAACGGACUCCAAAUCCGUUAAUGAGGGUUCGACUCCUUCCUUGCCUGU